Molecule: long non-coding RNA, 448 nt
Filed under: Panax ginseng (ginseng)
Lineage: Eukaryota; Viridiplantae; Streptophyta; Magnoliopsida; Apiales; Araliaceae
Description: long non-coding RNA (PGIN_LNC017133)
Source: RNAcentral
UCCGCUGUUUUUUUCCCUGAAUGCCGAAAUUUUCCGUCUCUGUUUCAAAUUAUGUCUUGUUGAUACCUUAAGAGCUCCUUUAUAUACUAAUCCAUCGCAUCCUGCAACAUAAAAUUCAGACUCUGUAAAGUCCAUUACAAAUCCCCAAAUCGGGCACGGAAAUGAUAUGGAACUAAGGGGUGUUCGUAGACAAGAAUAACAACUAUAGUUCCAUCAUCACUACCCGAAACCAGAAGCGAUUUGUCGUCAUUAAUUUCAAGGCAGGAUACCGGAACGCAAUCUUCAUGUGUGAACGUCUUUGCGCCGAGUUUCCUUCGGAGCUACCUUCUUCAUCCCCUCGCAUUUCAAUCUACAAGAUCGAUUAUGUAUGAAAAUUCACCUGCUCGGAGAGGAGAGUUCGGUGAUGUAUUUUUAGGUGGAGUAGAUCUCUUGCAUCCUCUCUCUCCUC